GCCUCCGGUCGGUCCGUUAGAGGUGGAGGAAGGGUCGGCCCAGCCCGGUGGGCAGGUUCCUGGCGGCCAAUUCGGCCCGGGGCCCGUUUCGGAAGGCGGCAGGACCGGCCAUCUCCAGCUGCAUCACGCUGCGAGGCUUGCUUGAAAGGAUCGGAUCUGAGUACUACACAGAAGAUAUAUUGGACACCUGUUAUACAACAUUUCUCCCUGAGGAAGUUUGCAAAUCAACCCAAGACUGGCCUGGAUUCAGUGGAAAAGAACAGAAGCAGGAGGAGAACUUGAGGUGGGAAAGACUGCAAGUUCCUUGAAGACAGGGCUCAUGCCUUAACUCCACCAUACUCUCUCAAUUUAGUACAGUGCUCUGGACCCACUAGAUGCUCAAUAGAUCUGACUGAAUGACGGCAAAGCCCGGAUGAAAGGCUAUAGCAGCACAGCUGGAGAAGCACAGAUAAUUCAGAGUUUAAACGACAAGACAAAUCCAACCAAUCUCUUCCAACCUAUUUUAGAAGGAUGUCCUAGCCUGCUCUAUUCCAUUUCAAGAAAUAGUAUUUAGAAAAAGGAAACGGUGCCGCAUAACAUUUGUCUCAAACAAAUCAAACAACCAACAGAAUACAAUUUUUUUUAAAAAACCCCCACAAGAAUCUUUGUGAAAACACAAUAGGAAAAGUCUUUUAAACAUUUAUAUUGGUAGUUACCCCGAACAAAUAUCAAAAAUAUUCUUCCUGCAUUGACAACUCCAGAUUUCUUAUGUGACUUGAAGAUGUCUGAGACAUAAGCUCUUCAGAUUGCUUCUUCCUCUACCUGAAAUUCAACUUUAAUCCUGAGAAAAAACUUGGGCUCCACAAUAGGGAGUCCAUGAUUCCUCCUUGUCUCCAAUGGACACUCAAUUGGGAAUCCCAAGCCAUGGAAGGAUGACUCGACUUAGCAUAUUUCGAACACAUAAUCAGGAGGACUCAUUCUCUGGAGAAGACACUAAUGCUAGGAAAAGUCCGUGGAAGAGGCAGACCGGCAG
This is a long non-coding RNA of Ornithorhynchus anatinus (platypus), 1012 nucleotides long. RefSeq lists it as uncharacterized. NCBI's taxonomy places the organism in Eukaryota, Metazoa, Chordata, Mammalia, Monotremata, Ornithorhynchidae. The record is from RefSeq and is a predicted model, not a curated record. The transcript is spliced from 4 exons.